RNAcentral lists this ribosomal RNA (188 nucleotides) under Vibrio sp. OPT20. Its description in RNAcentral is "partial 16S ribosomal RNA". It matches the Rfam family "Bacterial small subunit ribosomal RNA", at positions 1348 to 1533 of the family's 1533-position model. The record is from RNAcentral. Lineage: Bacteria; Pseudomonadati; Pseudomonadota; Gammaproteobacteria; Vibrionales; Vibrionaceae.
AUCAGAAUGUCACGGUGAAUACGUUCCCGGGCCUUGUACACACCGCCCGUCACACCAUGGGAGUGGGCUGCAAAAGAAGUGGGUAGUUUAACCUUUCGGGGAGGACGCUCACCACUUUGUGGUUCAUGACUGGGGUGAAGUCGUAACAAGGUAGCCCUAGGGGAACCUGGGGCUGGAUCACCUCCUUA